RNAcentral lists this unclassified non-coding RNA (384 nucleotides) under soil metagenome. Its description in RNAcentral is "partial contains 5.8S ribosomal RNA, internal transcribed spacer 2, and large subunit ribosomal RNA". The stretch from base 1 to 120 matches the Rfam family "5.8S ribosomal RNA", at positions 35 to 154 of the family's 154-position model. The record is from RNAcentral.
GAUGAAGAACGCAGCGAAAUGCGAUAGGUAAUGUGAAUUGCAGAAUUCAGUGAAUCAUCGAAUCUUUGAACGCACAUUGUGCCCUUUGGUAUUCCUUAGGGCAUGCCUGUUCGAGCGUCACUACACACCUUAUCACAAUAUUUGUGGUCUUGGCAGGAGUGAAUUGCUGGUCUAUGGAAGUAUUCCAGCAGUACACAAUGCUAAAAAAUAUGGGAAGGUUACCAGAUAUGAACAACAGACUUUGUAAAUGGUUGUAGGACCUAGAUCAGUCACAAGUCAUGUCUGGUCCCUUACCUUAAGGACCCCCAUCCUAGAUGAACUAUGGGUUGACCUCGGAUCAGGUAGGAAUACCCGCUGAACUUAAGCAUAUCAAUAAGCGGAGGA